GAUGAAGAAACGUAGCGAAAUGCGAUAAGUAAUGUGAAUUGCAGAAUUCAGUGAAUCAUCGAAUCUUUGAACGCACCUUGCGCUCCUUGGUAUUCCGAGGAGCAUGCCUGUUUGAGUGUCAUUAAAUUCUCAACCUUUCCAGCUUUUGCGAGUUUGGAUUGGCUUGGAUGUGGAGGUUUGCAGGCUUCUCAGAAGUCAGCUCCUCUUAAAUGCAUUAGCGGAACCUUUGUGGACCAGCUUUGGUGUGAUAAUUAUCUAUGCCAUGGUUGUGAAGCAGUUUUUAUAUGGGGUUCAGCUUCUAACAGUCCAUUGACUUGGACAAUUUCUGACAUUUUGACCUCAAAUCAGGUAGGACUACCCGCUGAACUUAAGCAUAUCAAUAAGCGGAGGA
RNAcentral lists this unclassified non-coding RNA (391 nucleotides) under soil metagenome. RNAcentral's name for it is "partial contains 5.8S ribosomal RNA, internal transcribed spacer 2, and large subunit ribosomal RNA". The stretch from base 1 to 121 matches the Rfam family "5.8S ribosomal RNA", at positions 35 to 154 of the family's 154-position model. The record is from RNAcentral.